UUCUCUGAAGGGCCCCGAUUCCUUUUGAUGC
RNAcentral lists this non-coding RNA (31 nucleotides) under Rattus norvegicus (Norway rat). Lineage: Eukaryota; Metazoa; Chordata; Mammalia; Rodentia; Muridae. The record is from RNAcentral.